Molecule: long non-coding RNA, 5503 nt
Filed under: Homo sapiens (human)
Lineage: Eukaryota; Metazoa; Chordata; Mammalia; Primates; Hominidae
Description: non-protein coding lnc-SNX24-1:2
Source: RNAcentral
CCGCAGUGGAGGCUGCCCCAGGUCUACAGGUGCCGCCUUCGCCCGGCCUCGCGUAGCCCACAGCAGGGGCCGCCCGCCCGCCGAAGUUGAAGGCGCACCUCCCCUUCCCGGGAAGGACGACGGUUCCCCAAAAGAGGCGGAGGGUAGUCUCUCAUCUGAACCAGGCGCUUUAAUGCCUGCCUGAAGCCACCGCGGCCAGCGUGGAGACCACGCAGCGGGCGGGCGGCUGCAAGCCCUGGGCUCCGAGCGCCUCUCCUGUGCGGGUCCCGCCCCCCUCCCCGCAUUCCUCUCGUUCUGCUCCCGAGCCCAGGCCACGCUGAAGGAAGUACUUGGGCAGUCUCUUUCCUGGAGAACGGGCCCGCCGGUUCCGGAAGCCUCUCCUACCCCCAGGCUGGUCACCUCGGACUACCGACCCGGGACAAGAAGUCCAAGCAGACUGCGGCGGAGGCUGGAAUGCUACAACUACAUUCUCCAAGACUACCUUGUAGCUAGUUUCUGCAUGUGACCUAGCUAUCACCAAGAAGACAUAUUGCUUGAGACUAGGAGGCAGAGAUGCUAAAUGUGAAUGAUAGCUCUGCAGAGAGAGAGAUCAGAUCUUGCAAGUGCAGAGAACAAGACACCUGGAUUUCCUGGGACAGCUGCUCUGGGGAUUUUGGAUUCCAAAGGCCAGUUCUCUUGUCUUUCCAGAAAUUCUUACAAGGUACCUACUACUGUUUAAUGAAUUAUUCUCUGCUUCAACUAGAUAACAUGGAUUCGGCUGUCUACAGUCAAAAAUCCUGACAAAUACAGGAUGAUACUGCACCCCCAACCAUAGGAGUGGUCCCUACAAAUGAAGCACAUUGGAAUACAGUAGCACCCUGACUUCCAUAUGAGUAAUCUCAAGGUUUCCCUUUGAUUCCAAUUUCACCUGUAGGCUCCAAUGUAACAGUGGAAAAGCAGAGGUCAUGAUGGAGAGAAUAGGAGUGAGCCCAUAAAACCUGGUUUGGCUGGGUGCGGUGGCUCACACCUGUAAUCCCAGCACUUUGUGAGGCCGAGGCAGGCAGACCACGAGGUCAGGAGAUCAAGACCAUCCUGGCUAACAUGGUGAAACCCUGUCUCUAUUAAAAAUACAAAAAAAUCAGCCGGGCAUGGUGGCAAGUCCCUGUAAUCCCAGCUACCUGGGAAGCUGUGGCAGGACAAUCACUUGAACCCAGGAGGUGGAGGUUGCAGUGAGCUGAGAUCAUGCCACUGCACUCCAGCCUGGCAACAGAACAAGACUCCAUCGCAAAAACAAACAAACAAACAAAAAACCUGGUUCAAUGAUCAAAUAUUGAGUCAGGGAUAGGCUAAGCCAGCAACAAAAUCAACCCACAGGGACUUCAGGCCUCAGCAGAAUGAACAAGGGAAUCUACAUUUGGAGAUCAAGAUCAAGUUGGUUUGAGAAGAAAAGCCAGGACACCAGGUCUAAAUUGAGUUCCAUGAACAGUAUUUGGCCAAGUCAGAAACCCUUUGUGAAGACCCCUAGCCCCAACCACCCACAGGUGUACAUGUUCUCAUAUAUAUAGGACAUGAGGACAUGUCUUAACAUUUAAUUGGUGACCUUUGCCCCUGUGGUAUGAGAAAAUGGUAUCUCCUACUCAAAUAUCAGAUAUUUUGGUUUAAAAUGUAAAAUGAGUCAGAGUUAAUUUGUCUCAGUCAGCCAACAUGUCAUAAAAAUAUUUUAAUUCCAAGUAUUGCCAUAGUUUAUCUUAUACGUAAGAUAAAGUAGAGCCAAUAGAAAGAUGCAAAAGCAAACCAAAGUUAGAUUAUUGCUUCUGAUGGGACAAACCCUGUCCAGGAGAAUUGUGGGGCCUUUCUUUGAUUGACAGGUAGAUUUGGGAGUUUUUAGAGGGGACCAAGCCUUUUGGGGCAAGGGAAGAUGCAGUUGCAAAAUACCACUUGCUGGUUCUUUGGAAAAAAAAAAUAACAAAAUCUAUAGACCACUAGCUAGAUUAACCAAGAAAAGAGGAAAGAAGAUCCAACUAAGUUAAAUUAGAAAUGAAACUGGAAACAUUACAACCAACACCAUAGAAAUACAAAAGAUCAUUUAAGACUACUAUGACAACUUUAUGCACACAAACUAGAAAACGUAGAGGAAAUUGAUAAAUUCCUAGGGACAUACAACCCUCCUAGAUUAAAUCAGGAAGAAUUAGAAACCUUGAACAGACCAACAACAAGCAGUGAGAUUGAAUUAGUAAUUUUAAAAUUGCCAACAAAAGAAAGCCCAGGACCAGAUGGAAUCACAGCUGAAUUGUACUGGACUUUCAAAGAAGAAUUGGUACCAAUCCUACUGAAACUAUUCCAAAGGAUUGAGAGAGAGGAAAUCCUCCUUAAAUCAUUCAAUAAAGCUAGUAUCACCCUGAUACCAAAGUCAGGAAAGGACACAACAAAAAAGGAAAACUACAGACCAAUUUUCCUGAUGAACACAGAUGCAAAAAUCCUCAUCAAAAUACUAGCUAACUGAAUCCAACAGCACAUCAAAGAGAAUUCAUCAUGAUCGAGUUUCAUCACAGGGAUGCAAGGAUAGUUUAAUAUAUGCAAGUCAAUAAAUGUGAUCUAUCACAUAAACAGAAUUAAAAACAAAAAACCAUAUGAUCACCUCAAUAGAUGCAGAAAACGCAUUUGAAAAAAAAAAUCAGCAUCCCUUUAGAUAAAAACUCUCAACAAACUAAGCAUAGAAGGGGCCUACCUCAAAAUAGUAGAAGCCACAUAUGAUAAACCCACAGCCAACGUCAUACUGAAUGGGAAAAAGUCGAAAGUAUUCCCCCUGAGAACAGGAACAAGACAAGAAUACCCACUUUCACCCCUCCUAUUCAACAUAGUUCUGGAAGUCCUAGCCAGAGUAAUUAGGCAAGAGAAAGAAAUAAAGGGCAUCCAAAUUGGAAAAGAGGAAGUCAAACUACCACUGUUUGCAGAUGAUAUGAUUAUAUAACUAUAAAAUCCUAAAGACUCCUCAAAAAAGACUCUUAGAUUUGAUAAAUGAGUUUGAUAAAGUCUCAGGUUACAAAAUUGAUGUGUACAAAUCAGCAGCACUGCUAUUCACCAACGACCAAGCUGAGAAUCAAAAUAAAAACUAAAUCCCUUUUACAACAGCUGCAAUAAAAUAAAAUAAAAUACUUAGGAAUAUACUUAACCAAAGAGGUGAAAUAUCUCUACAGGGAGAAUUAUAAAACAUCACUGAAAGAAAUCAUAGAUGACACAAACAAAUGGAAACGCAUCCCAUGUUCAUGGAUUGAAAGAUUCAAUGUUGUGAAAAUGACCACACUACCCAAAGCAGUCUACAUAUUCAAUGAAAUUACCAUCAAAAUAUCAACAUUUUCAUGGAAUUAGAAAAAACAACCCUAAAAUUCAUAUGGAACCAAAAAAGAGCCCAUAUAGCCAAAGCAAUCCUAAGCAAAAAGAGCAAAUCUGGAGGCAUCAUGUUGCUGGACUUCAAAUUCUACUACAAGGCUGUAGUUACCGAAGUUAUACCAGCAUGGUACUGGUAUUAAAGUAGUCAUGUAGACCAAUGGAACAGAGUGGAGAACCCAGAAAUAAAACCAAAUAUGUACAGCCAACUGAUCUUCCACAAAGCAUACAAAAAUACACAUUAGGGAAUGGACACCCUGUUUAAUAAAUAGUGCUGGGAAAACUGGCAAGUCACAUAUAGAAGAAUGAAACUGAAUCCGUAUCUCUUGCCUUACACAAAAAUCAACUCAAGAUGGAUCAAAGACUGAAAUAAGAGCUGAAACUAUAAAAACCCUAGAAGACAACAUUGGAAAAAAUUUGUAGACAUUGGCCUAAGCAAAGAACUCAUGACUAAGACCCCAAAAACAAAUGCAACAAACACAAAAAUAAAUAAAUGGGACCUAAUUAAACUAAAAAACUUCUGCACAGCAAAAGAAAUAAUCACCAGAAUAAACAGACAACCCACAGAAUGGGAGAAAAUAUUUGCAAGCUAUGUGUCUGACUAAUAUCCAGAACCUACAAGAAACUCAAACAAAUCAGGAUGAAAAAAAAAUCUCAUUAAAAAGUGGACAAAGGACAUAGACAUUUCUCAAAAUAAGAUAUACAAAUGGCCAAAAAACAUGAAAAAAUGCUCCAUGUCACUAAGCAUCAGGGAAAUGCAAAUUAAAACCAUAAUGAGGUACCACCUUACUCCUGUAAGAAUGGCUAUUAUUAGGCCAGGUGUGGUGGCUCAUGCCUGUAAUCCCAGCACUUUGGGAGGCCGAGGUGGGUGGAUCACUGAAGGUCAGGAAUUCGAGACUAGCCUGGCCAACAUGGGGAAACCCUGUCUCUACUAAAAAUACAAAAGUUAGCCAGGCGUGGUGGCAGAUGCCUGAAAUCCCAGCUACUUGGAAGGCUGAGACAGGAGAAUCACUUGAACCUGGAAGCAGAGGUUGCAGUGAUCCAAGAUUCUGCCAUUGCGCUCCAGCCUGGGUGACAGAGUGAGACUCUGUCUCAAAAAAAAAAAACCAAAAAAAAACAAACAAAAAAACAAAAAAAGAAUUGACUAUUAUUAAAAAGUCAGAAAACAAUAGAUGUUGGUGUGGAUGUGGGGAAAGGGGAACACUUUACACUGCUAGUGGGAAUGUAAAUUAGUGCAACCUCUAUGGAAAACAGUAUGGAGAUUCCUUAAAGAGUGAAAAGUAGAUCUACCAUUCAAUCCAGGAUUCCCAUGGCUGGGUCUCUAUCAAAGGGAAAUAUGUCAUUAUAUGAGAAAGACACUUGCACACAUAUGUUUAUAGCAGCACAAUUCACAAUUGUAAAGAUGUGAAACCAACCUAAGUGCCCAUCAACAAAUGAGUGGAUUACGAAAAUGUGGUAUAUAUGCACCAUGGAAUACUACUCAGCCAUUAAAAGGAACAAAAUAAUGUAUUUUGCAGCAACUUGGAUGGAGCUGGAGGCCAUUAGUCUAAGUGAAGUAACACAGGAGUGGAAAAGCAAAAACCAUAUGCUCUCAAUUAUAAGUGAGAGCUAAGCUAUGAGCAUGCAAAUGCAUACAGAGUGAUAUAAUGGACUUUAAAGACUCAGAAGAGGGAGGGUGGGAUGGGAGAUAGGGAUACAAAAACUGCACAUUAGGUACAAUGUACACUAAUCGGGUGACAGGUGCACUAAAAUCUCAGAAUUCACCGCUAUAUAAUUCAUGUAACAAAAUCCACUUGUACCACAAAAGCUAUUGAAAUAAAAAGAAACACAGCUUGUUGAUUUCAGUGAUCCAUUGAGCCCCAGCUCAAUCCCCAUGGCAUCCACCAUGGCACAAGUCCAGGCAGUUCACCAUUGGAGAAGGGUCUCUUCAUGUCAUGACUGUUAUUAGCUGCAUAUCCCUAAAGGCAGAAUUCCCAAACUUGGAGCAUUUUAUUUCCUGGAGUUUCCUCUUUUUCCUCUUUGUCCAUAACAUGAAUCAAUAAUAAGCUUCUUAAGACUGCUCUUGUAUUAGAUAAUCAUUUUUAUUCUACAAAAUUGUUGGAACUUACAUCAUCCACAAAUUAAAAUUCUUUUUCUU